Molecule: ribosomal RNA, 810 nt
Filed under: uncultured bacterium
Lineage: Bacteria
Description: bacterial SSU rRNA
Rfam family: Bacterial small subunit ribosomal RNA
Source: RNAcentral
AGAGUUUGAUCCUGGCUCAGGAUGAACGCUGGCGGCGUGCUUAACACAUGCAAGUCGAACGAAGCACUUUAUUUGAUUUCCUUCGGGACUGAUUAUUUUGUGACUGAGUGGCGGACGGGUGAGUAACGCGUGGGUAACCUGCCUUGUACAGGGGGAUAACAGUUGGAAACGGCUGCAUAAUACCGCAUAAGCGCACGGCAUCGCAUGAUGCAGUGUGAAAAACUCCGGUGGUAUAAGAUGGACCCACGUUGGAUUAGCUAGUUGGGUGAGGUAACGGCCCACCAAGGAGACGAUCCAUAGCCGACCUGAGAGGGUGACCGGCCACAUUUGGGACUGAGACACGGCCCAAACUCCUACGGGAGGCAGCAGUGGGGAAUAUUGCACAAUGGGCGAAAGCCUGAUGCAGCGACGCCGCGUGAGCGAAGAAGUAUUUCGGUAUGUAAAGCUCUAUCAGCAGGGAAGAUAAUGACGGUACCUGACUAAGAAGCACCGGCUAAAUACGUGCCAGCAGCCGCGGUAAUACGUAUGGUGCAAGCGUUAUCCGGAUUUACUGGGUGUAAAGGGAGCGCAGGCGGUGCGGCAAGUCUGAUGUGAAAGACCCGGGGCUCAACCCCGGUACUGCAUUGGAAACUGUCGUACUAGAGUGUCGGAGGGGUAAGCGGAAUUCCUAGUGUAGCGGUGAAAUGCGUAGAUAUUAGGAGGAACACCAGUGGCGAAGGCGGCUUACUGGACGAUAACUGACGCUGAGGCUCGAAAGCGUGGGGAGCAAACAGGAUUAGAUACCCUGGUAGUCCACGCCGUAAACGAUGA